Molecule: ribosomal RNA, 455 nt
Filed under: uncultured bacterium
Lineage: Bacteria
Description: bacterial SSU rRNA
Rfam family: Bacterial small subunit ribosomal RNA
Source: RNAcentral
GGUAAACGCUGGCGGUGUGCCUUAUGCAUGCAAGUCGAACGGUCCCGAUUUAUCGGGAUAGUGGCGAACGGGUGAGUAACGCGUAAGUAACCUGUCCUCAAGUUGGGAAUAACUUCGGGAAACCGAGGCUAAUACCGAAUGUGGUGGCAGGGCAAUGCUCAGCUACUAAAGCCGAAAGGCGCUUGAGGAGGGGCUUGCGUCCGAUUAGCUAGUUGGUAGGGUAAUGGCCUACCAAGGCGAUGAUCGGUAGCUGGCUUGAGAGGGUGGUCAGCCACACUGGGACUGAGACACGGCCCAGACUCCGUACGGGAGGCAGCAGCAAGGAAUAUUGGGCAAUGGGCGAAAGCCUGACCCAGCGACGCCGCGUGGGGGAAGAAGGCCUUCGGGUCGUAAACCCCUUUUCUCAGGGAAGAAUAAUGACGGUACCUGAGGAAUAAGUCUCGGCUAACUACGUG